Molecule: ribosomal RNA, 450 nt
Filed under: uncultured bacterium
Lineage: Bacteria
Description: bacterial SSU rRNA
Rfam family: Bacterial small subunit ribosomal RNA
Source: RNAcentral
AGCGAACGCUGGCGGCAGGCCUAACACAUGCAAGUCAAACGAACCCUUCGGGGUUAGUGGCGGACGGGUGAGUAACACGUGGGAACGUACCUUUAGGUUCGGAACAACACAGGGAAACUUGUGCUAAUGCCGAAUGUGCCCUUCGGGGGAAAGAUUUAUCGCCUUUAGAGCGGCCCGCGUCUGAUUAGCUUGUUGGUGAGGUAAAGGCUCACCAAGGCUUCGAUCAGUAGCUGGUCUGAGAGGAUGAUCAGCCACACUGGGACUGAGACACGGCCCAGACUCCUACGGGAGGCAGCAGUGGGGAAUCUUGCGCAAUGGGCGAAAGCCUGACGCAGCCAUGCCGCGUGAAUGAUGAAGGUCUUAGGAUUGUAAAAUUCUUUCACCGGGGAAGAUAAUGACGGUACCCGGAGAAGAAGCCCCGGCUAACUUCGUGCCAGCAGCCGCGGUAAU